RNAcentral lists this ribosomal RNA (188 nucleotides) under Vibrio cholerae. RNAcentral describes it as "partial 16S ribosomal RNA". It matches the Rfam family "Bacterial small subunit ribosomal RNA", at positions 1 to 181 of the family's 1533-position model. The record is from RNAcentral. Lineage: Bacteria; Pseudomonadati; Pseudomonadota; Gammaproteobacteria; Vibrionales; Vibrionaceae.
UUAAUUGAAGAGUUUGAUCAUGGCUCAGAUUGAACGCUGGCGGCAGGCCUAACACAUGCAAGUCGAGCGGCAGCACAGAGGAACUUGUUCCUUGGGUGGCGAGCGGCGGACGGGUGAGUAAUGCCUGGGAAAUUGCCCGGUAGGGGGGGAUAACCAUUGGAAACGAUGGCUAAUACCGCAUAACCUCG